Molecule: non-coding RNA, 478 nt
Organism: Gasterosteus aculeatus aculeatus (three-spined stickleback)
Lineage: Eukaryota; Metazoa; Chordata; Actinopteri; Perciformes; Gasterosteidae
Source: RefSeq, a predicted model, not a curated record
CUUUGGUCUCAGCAUCCUUCAGGUCCACGUCGGUCUCCUCCGUGUUCAUACCGGCGAUGAUCCGGUACCGAUCCGGAUGUGAGAAUCACACAGCGGCUUAGCGUCAGAGCUGGCCAGAUGUUGACACUGCAGGAGAUCAGAGAGCAGCACGUGUGACGCUUCACAACAGCAUGAAGCAGAGAAAAGGUGGAGAACCACAUCAGACCAAAGACACCAUCAGCCCCCACCUGUGACGUAGAUGUACUGUCAUAGUAGUAGAGUACUAGUACUAGUACUACAUCUUGUUCAUUGCAACGAGACAAAGGAGUCAACAUUAAAUAACUUGUUUCAUGUUUUUCACAUGUCUGUUAUUUCAUAUCCCACCGUCUGCGUUUGUUGCUGACACACAUCUUACGUUUGAAUGUUUAAUGUUAAUUGGUGUUCUAGUGUUUGUUCUUUUGUACUUCCUGUAAUAAAAGGUCUUUGAUUGAAGAACUGA